Molecule: long non-coding RNA, 207 nt
Filed under: Elaeis guineensis (African oil palm)
Lineage: Eukaryota; Viridiplantae; Streptophyta; Magnoliopsida; Arecales; Arecaceae
Description: long non-coding RNA (EGUI_LNC067199)
Source: RNAcentral
GGGUGGUGAUGUAUUUUUCUUUCUUUUUUUAUAAUUUAGAUGAUGUAACCAAUUUUAGAUGCAAAUGAAUGAAAUUUAUUUUUAUUAACAAUAUUCACGAUGUAUGAAUGGAUUAGUACAAAUCAUAUUUCGAGCUGUAUUGGCCAAGUUCUGAUCUAUAUUAGCUAACAACUUAGCUAUAAUUGAAAUUAUAAAAUAUGAUCUGAG